This is a long non-coding RNA of Acanthochromis polyacanthus (spiny chromis), 4530 nucleotides long. RefSeq lists it as uncharacterized. NCBI's taxonomy places the organism in Eukaryota, Metazoa, Chordata, Actinopteri, Pomacentridae. The record is from RefSeq and is a predicted model, not a curated record. The transcript is spliced from 6 exons.
GAUUAACUGAAGGCAUUCGGAAGUUGUUUGUGAAACUAUUAACUGAAAAAGCCAGAAAUGUUACUUAUAAUAACAUUUAUAGUGCAAAAACUGCAAUUAUAAAAGACAUCAGAAAACGUUCACUGAACCUGAGAGUAACUGAAGCAGUAUGAAAUAAAGCAAUAUAAAUUAAAUAGUAAAUUUAGAUGUCACAGUGGUGCAAAGUACUGCUUUAAAUUUUCUUAAAUAACACAAAAUAUAAACACACUGAUAUUUAAAUAAAAACUUCAAGCAUAGGUAACUUUUGCAAACAUAGAAAACACAAAGUACUUAAAAUGAAGCGCAAAAUCAACAAUAAACUUGAGAAUUGGACUGAAUACAAGCCGUAAACAAGAUUAGUGCAGAUUAGUGGCACACUACAAUUUUGCCACCUAUGAUGUUACGGAUUUCAAGUUCCAUAGCUUUCUUCUCUGUAAACAAAGAUUAACAAUUGCAACAUCUGUGCGUAUGUGCGCACUAAAUCAAACAGUGAGCAGCAUUUAGUUUAUGAUAGGUUUAUGGCCAGGAAAACAAGCCUGUCCACAUUCUCUGGCUUCAGUGCCACCCGGUGGCAUGUAACAACAUUACCACCAGUACUAAAUGCCCUUUCAGACGGGGCACUGGUGGCUGGGAUGCAGAAGUACUUGCGAGCCAGGCUUGCCACCCUUGGAAAAAUGGCCUGAUGCAGCUUCCACCACUCUAGUGGGUCUUCCUCUCCAUCCACAGCUAUUGCCUGCAAGUAACUUUGUACUUCUAAAUCAAUGGUCUCUCUGUCAGCCAAAGCAGCUGGGCCAGGAAUGGAUGGCUUUUUGAAAAAGCUGCCCAGAGUGCGCUUAACUUUCCUAGGUUGUCCAACUUCUUCAUCUGCACAGGCAGCAUGUGGAGGUGAAUCGGUGGAGGAUGCUGCUGGAUUUUCUCUUUCCAAAAGGGCUUGGAUUGCAGCCACUGCCUUAGUCUUUAUGUAAGUCUUUUCGGUUGUCAGCAAUGUAUGACAUCUUGAAUCGUGGAUCCACAAAGGACGCAAUAUCUAACAGGUCCUCCGUGCCACGGUCAGAGUACUUCUCAUUUAAGUAGUGGAGGAUGGUCUUCUUCAUAUUCUUGGUCAGUUCUGUGUCAUUCUCGUCAGCAGACAGAACACUGUUAUUCAAAAGAUGAAGCACAGGUUUGAGGUAGGACACGCUGAUGUAUUCUUCACUAGACAGGGCAUCAGUGAAUUCAACCAGAGGACUCAGGGCCUUAUUCACUGACUCCAAGACAUCUAGGUCCUGCCAAGUAGGUACCAGAUGCCUGGUUUUUUUCUCUGCUUUUAGGACCUGAGAUAUUGCCUUCUCCUGCUCCAGCACUCGUUCUAUCAUCUGUUGCCGUGAACCCCAUCUUGUCGGUGUCUCUGUGAUGAGGCGGUGAGGAGGCAGAUGGAGUUCAGCCUGGGCUUUGGCCAUUGCUUUCUUUCUUUUACGAGUGUACGAAAAUGCACUUACAAUUUUCUUGCAGACCCCAACUGCCCGCUCAAUCCGGGGCUCUUUGACACUCGACUCUGUUGAAAAAGUAGACAAAAAUAAAUUAUUAGACCAGCAGCCCUAAUGACAAAACACUUGUAAAUUCUACAGCAGGCCUACACCAAGACAUGGAUCUAAUUAAAAGCAUAGUAUAACACCAGAGCAAACAAAAUAUUAAGGAGAUGACAGUAACAUCAUACAGUUGUGCUCAUAAGUUUACAUACCCUGGUGGAAUUUUUAAAUUUUUGGCCAGCUUUCAGAGAAUAUAAAUAAUAACUCAAAACUUUCUUUUCACUCAUGGUUAGUGAUUUUGUGAAGCCAUUUAUUGUCAAACAAUUGUGUUUACUCUUUUCAAAUCAUAAUGACAACAGAAACUACCCAAAACCCAAUCAGGAAUUCUGCCAGGGUAUGUAAACUUAUGAGCGCAACUGUACCUGUGUUAUCAAAUCUACAGGAGAGAAUUACCCCAGAGGAAAAAAAAGACAGCUUUACCAUAGGUAGCAGGCAGUAGCUUGCUAUUAAUCUAUGAAAAAUAUAAACUUACCAAUAGCAAGUUGAAGCCUAUGUCUGAAGCACUGAAGUCGUGUCCAAUCAUUGAGCCCCACUGCUUUGACAACAUUGGCACCGUUGUCAGUGGUGAUGCAGACUUGUAACUUUUCGUCAAGUCCCCAUGCGUCCAGCGCCUCUCUCAGUCCCUUGGCAAUCAACUCCCCCGUAUGAUCGUCCGGGAAAUACGAAGUUUGCAGGCAUUAGCUGCGCAACUUCCACUCAUCGUCAAUAUAAUGAAUUGUAAGGCUAAGAUAAGGGUCCAUUGUGCGACUCGACCAUAAGUCUGUGGUGGUUGCGUAGUGUUUCAUAGCGUGGAGCUCCGUUUCUACUUUUUCACGGACCUCCGCAUGUAGUUUUGGUAUUUCAACAUCACUGAAAUAUUUGCGGCCUGGUACCACGUAUCGUGAAUCAAAAGUCUUGGCCAUGCCUAAAAAGCCGCUUCCCUCUACGGCCCAGAAAGGCAACAUGUCUUUGCACAAAAAAAUGAGAGGCAUCUGGCUGCAGACCUCCACUGUGAGGUCGCUUCCGGUGCAGACCUCCACUGUCAGGACGCCUCCACCAUAGAUAUAUACAAACGCUAGAUGUCUCGAGACGGAGUCGGCGGCGUCGUCACUUGGCGGCCAUCUUAGGACAGGGGACUGCUCUGGCGCACUGUACUGUAGUCAAUGGUAAGGUGGAUGAUUUCCUCACUUUAACACUCAUAACUCGCUCAAUUCUUGAUUGAUUUACAAACGGUUUAGUUUAUUACAAAUCUUAUUAACGUGGCUAUGAUUCAGGCUCAAUUCCGAAAUCGCAGCUUUUCGUUUUCAAAAAUGCGGCAUAGUUGUGUGUCUUUUCUGCCUGGCUACUCACAUUGAAGAUGGUGUUACUCACAAUCUCAUUUUCAGUUAUUAGGUUUUCCUGAGACCAACGUUUUUUGAGAACCGAAUCUUUAGGCGAAAUUACAUUCUUUGUGGUUGUGGUUGUAUUUAUUUGCUUGUUAAGAGACUCUGAUUGAGACCUUAGACUUAUUGUUUGUAUACAUCUAUGCCUGGAUUAGUUAGCCUGCAGCCGAAAUGCAUUGUGGGUAAUGUAGGCACCAGGUUCAUGAAAAGAAAAGACAACAUCUCUGUUUGUUGUGCAUUGAUUUUGGUUGAGCUUUGUUUUUAUCUGUGCUUUAGAAAGCUGAUAGUAAUAAAAAAAGUGCAAUGCUAAAUAAUAAAAUUACAUUUACAUCCAUUAAUGCGGAUAAAGCUGAUAUCUGUGUUCAUUAUUAUAUAAAUUCAAUGGUUUUAAUUAUUCUUAUGUAAGCAGUAAAAGAAGUACAUCUCUGACGUUUAUAACAAACCAAGCUGUUGUAAAAUCGGUUGAAAAUUGAGCAAUCUACAGUGAUUUUAAAAUCCAUGCUCCAUUGACUUUAAUGUUAUGAGUGAUCGAGCAGCCCUGUCCCAAGAUGGCCGCCAUGUGGCGACGUUGCUCCCCAUAGGCUGACAGCGCUCAUGAGCCAUCUAGUGUUUGUAUAUAUCUAUGGUCUCCACUGUCAGGACGGGAAGUAACCAUAAGCGUCCGAUAGGUGGCCGUAACGCACCUGAAGUUGGUUUACUAACCGCUAAAUAAAUCAAAAGAAGAAGCCAUUUCACGCGAGUGAUCGUCUGUAUCGUUUGGCGUUUACGAAUGCCCUUUACACCAUAUUGGAUGCUCCCUAUGACUUUACCAUUAUGGACAUGCCACUUUUGCAGCAGUGGUGGUGUAUCGUCCUGAUGGAAAACUUUGACCUUGAAAGCCAUGAAAAGCUGUUCGCUCACUGGACAGAUACAUCAAAAGCCCUCCUGUGAGGUGAGGUGUCACCAGUGUUUAGGCUGAAGAAAAGAAGGGUGGAUGACAUUACUACGGAAGAAAAGCAGCAAGCUGAGGUUUCAGUCAGACCUGCUGAUGUGAGCACACCAGUGGAAGGGGACUCGGUUGAAGUGCGUAUUCUGCAUGAUUGCAGACAUGCAGCAGAGUGGGUUGAGGCCAAUAAGACACUCUUCUCUGCCAGAGUGGACCUGCCUGAUGUUCUACACAUGGGGGAGGAGGAACAGGCUGAGGCUGCUCUGCAGUAAAAAGACAUGGAUGAGCAGGAAAGGGAAGAAAUCCUGGAGGUCUUCAAAUUCACAUUCUACAACAUUGAGGAUGUGGAAAUUUUGUGACAUAGUAGUGGACGAAAACAAUUAUUUGGCAUAUUGUGAAUGUCACAAAGAUGAAUAAUUGAAGGAUAACAGAACAUUUGAUCAUGUUGUGACUUUGUGUGUUCAUGUUUUGUUUUCUCAUUGAGCACUUAAUAAUUCACUUGAACUACACUGUAGAUCUCAAGAGUUUGGGUAGUAGUUGGUGGUAUUUAGGUGCUCCAGCAGCACAAGAACAUACACACGUGGACAAAAUUGUUGGUACCCCUCAGUUAAAGAAGGAAAAACCCACAAUUCUCACUGAAAUCACUUGAAACUCACAA